Molecule: non-coding RNA, 562 nt
Organism: Schizosaccharomyces pombe (fission yeast)
Lineage: Eukaryota; Fungi; Ascomycota; Schizosaccharomycetes; Schizosaccharomycetales; Schizosaccharomycetaceae
Source: the annotation of a GenBank genome assembly
UAGGUGAAGUCGAGGAAAAAGGGUGACUAUUGAUUGGGAAGAAAUUUUCACAUCUUCAGAAGGUCGUAUUGUAUGAAAAUGUUCUUACACAACCAAAACUGUAUUCCCAGCCUUUAACAUUACUUACAAUCUGAUUAAGCUCUUGUUACAAGCAAGAAGACAAGACGAAAGAACAAGCUUUGCUUAACCGACCAGGUUCCGCUUCUUUUCUCGCCUCUAGCUCUAGACAGUGACUAAUAGGGGAAAAGUCCUGUUCUUGCUUAUAUUUCUAUGAGCAGGAAUGUCGUUUAAGGGUAAAAACUCGUCAAGAUGCUGGUUAAGGACAGCUCGUGGUAGUGGAGUCGACUGAAAGGAGUAUCGUAGAGGGCGUAAACACUAUGGGGUUGUCGGGGUAACGCAACGUUGGCAAGCUGGGAAACAAAUACAAACAUCAAAUAAUAUGGUAAUUUUCAAUGUAAACAAUAAUAUAAAUAUUAAACAAAAACAAACACGAGUUUCGUAAAAAUAAGAAAACGGAGAUAUGGAACCACAAUUUAAUGUAUAUGAGCUACCUCACUAUUGU